Molecule: ribosomal RNA, 266 nt
Filed under: uncultured bacterium
Lineage: Bacteria
Description: partial 16S ribosomal RNA
Rfam family: Bacterial small subunit ribosomal RNA
Source: RNAcentral
ACCAAGGCGACGAUCCGUAACUGGUCUGAGAGGAUGAUCAGUCACACUGGAACUGAGACACGGUCCAGACUCCUACGGGAGGCAGCAGUGAGGAAUAUUGGACAAUGGGCGAAAGCCUGAUCCAGCCAUGCCGCGUGUGUGAAGAAGGUCUUCGGAUUGUAAAGCACUUUAAGUUGGGAGGAAGGGCAGUAAGUUAAUACCUUGCUGUUUUGACGUUACCGACAGAAUAAGCACCGGCUAACUUCGUGCCAGCAGCCGCGGUAAUA